CAGACGGACGGACGGUUGCAUUUACAGAUUCCGUGACCUGGAAAUACUAGUUUAUAAAGAAAACCCCAUGGAGAACAAAAGUUCUCAGCCGAUGACAUGUGCACAAAAGAAAGGGAAACUAUCAAGACCUGAAGUUCUGACCUGCAAACCUUCGACAACGGGUCGAUUUGUGUUGUUGCGUUACAUUCCACCAAGAGAGGAAAUUUUCACAGUCUGCGAAGUUGAGGUCCGUGGAAAGCUCGCCAAAGGUUAACUACCAAGCUGUGGCGACAUUCAAAAAAGUGUCACAUAAUCUGAUGUAAUAAAAAGUCUAUUGAG
Long non-coding RNA from Haliotis rufescens (red abalone), 318 nucleotides. RefSeq lists it as uncharacterized. The record is from RefSeq and is a predicted model, not a curated record. Lineage: Eukaryota; Metazoa; Mollusca; Gastropoda; Lepetellida; Haliotidae. The transcript is spliced from 3 exons.